Molecule: ribosomal RNA, 249 nt
Filed under: uncultured Actinomycetales bacterium
Lineage: Bacteria; Bacillati; Actinomycetota; Actinomycetes; Actinomycetales
Description: partial 16S ribosomal RNA
Rfam family: Bacterial small subunit ribosomal RNA
Source: RNAcentral
GGGGUGCUCGAGUGGCGAACGGGUGAGUAACACGUGAGUAACCUGCCCUUGACUUUGGGAUAACUUCAGGAAACUGGGGCUAAUACCGGAUAGGAGCUCCUGCUGCAUGGUGGGGGUUGGAAAGUUUCGGCGGUUGGGGAUGGACUCGCGGCUUAUCAGUUUGUUGGUGGGGUAGUGGCUUACCAAGGCUUUGACGGGUAGCCGGCCUGAGAGGGUGACCGGCCACAUUGGGACUGAGAUACGGCCCAG